GGGUUGUGAGGUUAAGCGACUAAGCGUACACGGUGGAUGCCCUGGCAGUCAGAGGCGAUGAAGGGCGUGCUAAUCUGCGAUAAGCGCCGGUAAGGUGAUAUGAACCGUUAUAACCGGCGAUACCCGAAUGGGGAAACCCAGUGUGAUUCGUCACACUAUCAUUAACUGAAUCCAUAGGUUAAUGAGGCGAACCGGGGGAACUGAAACAUCUAAGUACCCCGAGGAAAAGAAAUCAACCGAGAUUCCCCCAGUAGCGGCGAGCGAACGGGGAGGAGCCCAGAGCCUGAAUCAGCAUGUGUGUUAGUGGAAGCGUCUGGAAAGGCGCGCGAUACAGGGUGACAGCCCCGUACACAAAAGCGCAUGUGUUGUGAGCUCGAUGAGUAGGGCGGGACACGUGGUAUCCUGUCUGAAUAUGGGGGGACCAUCCUCCAAGGCUAAAUACUCCUGACUGACCGAUAGUGAACCAGUACCGUGAGGGAAAGGCGAAAAGAACCCCGGCGAGGGGAGUGAAAAAGAACCUGAAACCGUGUACGUACAAGCAGUGGGAGCACAGGUUUACCUGUGUGACUGCGUACCUUUUGUAUAAUGGGUCAGCGACUUAUAUUCUGUAGCAAGGUUAACCGUAUAGGGGAGCCGGAGGGAAACCGAGUCUUAAUUGGGCGUUAAGUUGCAGGGUAUAGACCCGAAACCCGGUGAUCUAGCCAUGGGCAGGUUGAAGGUUGGGUAACACUAACUGGAGGACCGAACCGACUAAUGUUGAAAAAUUAGCGGAUGACCUGUGGCUGGGGGUGAAAGGCCAAUCAAACCGGGAGAUAGCUGGUUCUCCCCGAAAGCUAUUUAGGUAGCGCCUCGUGAAUUCAUCUCCGGGGGUAGAGCACUGUUUCGGCUAGGGGGCCAUCCCGGCUUACCAACCCGAUGCAAACUGCGAAUACCGGAGAAUGUUAUCACGGGAGACACACGGCGGGUGCUAACGUCCGUCGUGAAGAGGGAAACAACCCAGACCGCCAGCUAAGGUCCCAAAGUCAUGGUUAAGUGGGAAACGAUGUGGGAAGGCCCAGACAGCCAGGAUGUUGGCUUAGAAGCAGCCAUCAUUUAAAGAAAGCGUAAUAGCUCACUGGUCGAGUCGGCCUGCGCGGAAGAUGUAACGGGGCUAAACCAUGCACCGAAGCUGCGGCAGCGACGCUUAUGCGUUGUUGGGUAGGGGAGCGUUCUGUAAGCCUGUGAAGGUGUGUCGUGAGGCAUGCUGGAGGUAUCAGAAGUGCGAAUGCUGACAUAAGUAACGAUAAAGCGGGUGAAAAGCCCGCUCGCCGGAAGACCAAGGGUUCCUGUCCAACGUUAAUCGGGGCAGGGUGAGUCGACCCCUAAGGCGAGGCCGAAAGGCGUAGUCGAUGGGAAACGGGUUAAUAUUCCCGUACUUGGUGUUACUGCGAAGGGGGGACGGAGAAGGCUAUGUUGGCCGGGCGACGGUUGUCCCGGUUUAAGCGUGUAGGUGUGUGUUCCAGGUAAAUCCGGUUCACUUUAACACUGAGGCGUGAUGACGAGGCACUACGGUGCUGAAGCAACAAAUGCCCUGCUUCCAGGAAAAGCCUCUAAGCAUCAGGUAACAUCAAAUCGUACCCCAAACCGACACAGGUGGUCAGGUAGAGAAUACCAAGGCGCUUGAGAGAACUCGGGUGAAGGAACUAGGCAAAAUGGUGCCGUAACUUCGGGAGAAGGCACGCUGACACGUAGGUGAAGUGAUUUACUCACGGAGCUGAAGUCAGUCGAAGAUACCAGCUGGCUGCAACUGUUUAUUAAAAACACAGCACUGUGCAAACACGAAAGUGGACGUAUACGGUGUGACGCCUGCCCGGUGCCGGAAGGUUAAUUGAUGGGGUCAGCGCAAGCGAAGCUCCUGAUCGAAGCCCCGGUAAACGGCGGCCGUAACUAUAACGGUCCUAAGGUAGCGAAAUUCCUUGUCGGGUAAGUUCCGACCUGCACGAAUGGCGUAAUGAUGGCCAGGCUGUCUCCACCCGAGACUCAGUGAAAUUGAACUCGCUGUGAAGAUGCAGUGUACCCGCGGCAAGACGGAAAGACCCCGUGAACCUUUACUAUAGCUUGACACUGAACAUUGAGCCUUGAUGUGUAG
This 2128-nucleotide ribosomal RNA is filed under the name Salmonella enterica subsp. enterica serovar Paratyphi B var. L(+) tartrate +. RNAcentral describes it as "partial 23S ribosomal RNA". It matches the Rfam family "Bacterial large subunit ribosomal RNA", at positions 1 to 2141 of the family's 2925-position model. Lineage: Bacteria; Pseudomonadati; Pseudomonadota; Gammaproteobacteria; Enterobacterales; Enterobacteriaceae. The record is from RNAcentral.